Molecule: long non-coding RNA, 1155 nt
Organism: Homo sapiens (human)
Lineage: Eukaryota; Metazoa; Chordata; Mammalia; Primates; Hominidae
Source: Ensembl
UUCUGUUUUUUUUUCUCUCCCACCCAUCCUUAUUGCCAACCACCCCUUAGUUGAUAAGUGGAGAAAGGAAGAGGGUUAUGAAGAUUUCAGGUCACUGCAGAUGAAACAUACAAAGACAAACCCAGGGCUUCCCAUAUUAUAUUGAAUAUAGAGAAUGCCUUAGGGGAACUCUAAGAAGCUUGAAGUCAUUUUCCCUUUAGAAAUCAUAAAGAGGUCAGUGAUUUAUAAUUCAGAAGAACAAUGGACAGGAAAAGUUCUCUACCUGCCCGUGCAAGCAACGACUGUCUUGCGAGGCUUUCUAAUGUAGUCAGAGCUUCAAGAUGCUCAAUGUUUGAGAAUGAGGAAAUAAAUGAAUGAACGAGAAGGAAAUUUUCCUGAAUGCAUUCAGUUUAUUCCAGACAGACUUUGUUCAACACUCCGCUGUGAAUCAGAACAAGACCUCAGUCAAGCUGUGGACUACAUAACAUGACAUAGGCUAUGAAGAAAAGUGUGAGUUAUCAUUACUGGAAAGAACAAGAUUUUUAUGUAUUCAUAAACCAUCAAACAACUCCAAGAAAGCAGCAAAAGAAACUUCUGUCUUAAAUAGAGUGGAUAGCUGACUAUAAUAGAAGACAAUUCUACAAUCCACAGUACAAGACAAGUUCUCAUGACUAUUAAAAAUCUGUAUAGAUCCCAAGAGACUCCAAAUAGAAGCAGGCCAGACAUCAUGGCAUCCAUGCAAAAUUAGACUGAGGGAUUGAAGACAAAGGCGCUAGAAUGCUGGAGAGGCACUUUUGCAGAAAUGCUGGUGAGAAGCACCAAAUGCUACCCUCCCAUCUCCCCAGCUGCUUUCAUUUCUCUGGAGCUGAAACAAAGGUUCAAGCGAUUCUCCUGCCUCAGCCUCCUGAGUAGCUGGGACUACAGGCACCUGCCACCACGCAGAGCUAGAGCUUUGCUACUGCUUUUCGGGGCCAGCCUUUCUGAACCAGAAAAAAAGGUAUAUGGGUACCAACACGAGGUCUAACUAGGAGUCAGGAAAGUUAAAAGAGAAGUUUGAAGAUAAAUCAUUCUGGUGGCACGAGGACGUUAUCGAUAAAGAUGCUUUGGUCUGGAAAGAGUAUAUUAAGCCACUUCUGUCAUGCAGCGAGGAAUUAAUAAACAGUUUUCAUGCCUAUA